UCUUCCGCAAUGGACGAAAGUCUGACGGAGCAACGCCGCGUGAGUGAGGAAGGUCUUCGGGUCGUAAAACUCUGUUGCCGGGGAAGAACAAGUGCCGUUCGAACAGGGCGGCACCUUGACGGUACCCGGCCAGAAAGCCACGGCUACCUACGUGCCAGCAGCCGCGGUAAUACGUAGGUGGCAAGCGUUGCCCGGAAUUAUUGGGCGUAGAGCGGGCGCAGGCGGCUUCUUAAGUCUGAUGUGAAAUCUUGCGGCUCAACCGCAAGCGGUCAUUGGAAACUGGGAGGCUUGAGUGCAGAAGAGGAGAGUGGAAUUCCACGUGUAGCGGUGAAAUGCGUAGAGAUGUGGAGGAACACCAGUGGCGAAGGCGGCUCUCUGGUCUGUAACUGACGCUGAGGCGCGAAAGCGUGGGGAGCAAACAGG
Molecule: ribosomal RNA, 423 nt
Filed under: uncultured bacterium
Lineage: Bacteria
Description: bacterial SSU rRNA
Rfam family: Bacterial small subunit ribosomal RNA
Source: RNAcentral